Molecule: ribosomal RNA, 468 nt
Filed under: uncultured bacterium
Lineage: Bacteria
Description: partial 16S ribosomal RNA
Rfam family: Bacterial small subunit ribosomal RNA
Source: RNAcentral
GACGAACGCUGGCGGCGUGCUUAACACAUGCAAGUCGAACGGAAAGGCCCUGCUUUUGUGGGGUGCUCGAGUGGCGAACGGGUGAGUAACACGUGAGUAACCUGCCCUUGACUUUGGGAUAACUUCAGGAAACUGGGGCUAAUACCGGAUAGGAGCUCCUGCUGCAUGGUGGGGGUUGGAAAGUUUCGGCGGUUGGGGAUGGACUCGCGGCUUGUCAGCUUGUUGGUGGGGUAGUGGCUUACCAAGGCUUUGACGGGUAGCCGGCCUGAGAGGGUGACCGGCCACAUUGGGACUGAGAUGCGGCCCAGACUCCUAGGGGAGGGAGCAGUGGGGAAUAUUGCACAGUGGGCGGGAGCCUGAUGCGGCAACGCCGCUUGCGGUGUGACGGCCUUCGGGUUGUAAACCACUUUCGCCUGUGACGAAGCUGGGUUGACGGUAAUGGGUAAAGAAGCGCCGGCUAACUACGUG